GUGUCAGCAGCCGCGGUAAUACAGAGGUCCCAAGCGUUGUUCGGAUUCACUGGGCGUAAAGGGUGCGUAGGUGGUUGGGUAAGUUUGAUGUGAAAUCUCCGGGCUUAACCCGGAAACUGCAUUGAAUACUAUCUGGCUAGAGGGUUGGAGGGGGGACUGGAAUACUUGGUGUAGCAGUGAAAUGCGUAGAUAUCAAGUGGAACACCAGUGGCGAAGGCGAGUCCCUGGACAACUCCUGACACUGAGGCACGAAAGCUAGGGGAGCAAACAGGAUUAGAAACCCCAGUAGUCC
RNAcentral lists this ribosomal RNA (292 nucleotides) under uncultured bacterium. RNAcentral's name for it is "partial 16S ribosomal RNA". It matches the Rfam family "Bacterial small subunit ribosomal RNA", at positions 505 to 796 of the family's 1533-position model. The record is from RNAcentral.